AAAAACCAAAAAAAAAAAACAAAACAAACGCUCUCAGCCCUCUCUAUCUCUCUCUGCCACACUAUCUCUCCAUGUCUAUGUUCUUUCAUCAUCUCCUUGCAAGAACAUUACCAUAGAAAAUACUCUCCAAACCCUCUCUCUCUCUCUCUCUCUCUCUCACACACACACACACACACACACACCCAAACCCAAAUCGACAUCAAGAGCUCCAAGAAGCAAAAACCUCUUCAAGUUGAACACAAUGAUGUGAAGCUAUUGACUUAGACCUGAUGUUCGAUUCUGAUUCAUCUAUUCCAGGAGUAACCAUAACAACUAGUGAGAAGUAGAAUAAGGAAUGAAGAAAAGAUGCAAAGAGAGAACUUUGAGAAUAGAAGAAUGAAGAGAGAGAGAGAGAGAGAGAGAGAGAGAGAGAAGUAACGAUGAAGUGAGAGACAACUAUCGGAGGGAGAAUGCUUGAAGGAGACGGAAGAGACAAAUGCAUGCCACUCGGUGAAGAAAGAAUCUUCGACCCAUCAGUCAGGGAGAAACUGAGCCUGUAGGGAUCUUCUUUUGCAGAAGUUGAACACAAUGAUAUGAAGCUAAGAUUUGAUGUAUAUAUAUAUAUUUUUAUUAUAUUUGUUUGUUGAAGGAAUUUGUCAAAUUUGAACUUGGGUGGGGAGAUUUCACCAGCCAUUGGAGACCUGAAGAAUCUACAGUUCAUAUGUUAUAUUUGAAAUAUUUUCAGGGAUUUUCAAGGGAACAAAUUAACUGGUCAAAUUCCUGAUGAGAUAGGCAACUGUGUUUCUCUGAUGCUGGUGUAAAAUUUCAUCUUCUUUCUUCAUUGCAAUUUUAUUUUCAUAUAUGUGGAUGUAUUAAUAUCUUCUUCUGUCUUUAGGUGAUUAAGAUUUUUAGUCUUUAUUUUAAUAGUGGCAUGUUAUUUUCUAUUAUAUCUCAUUAGCCCUGCUUUGAAGUAUCUCGCUACUACAAUUUCCAACUUCCCUGCCUUACAACUACUAGAGAAGACUAGAACAGAAACUAAAUGUCAAUUCUUUUGAGGAAAACAGAAUGGUGGUUGCAUUCUCUCUCUCUCUCUCUCCUUUUCCUUCUUUUUGGCUUGACUUCAUAAGUUGGUAGAUUGUAUAUGUUUUUGACAUGUUUGUCUAUGACUAGUUUGUUACUUAGCUAGUCUAGUUCUCCUGUAGCAGUGCUUAAAUGAAUUCAUAAUUUCUUUAUAUUUCAUGAGUAAAACUUUUCUUUUACAGGGGAUUCUUCCACGGAUACUCAUUAAUUACAACUCUCAUGUUCUUAACCAUGCACUAUGUGGCAUUGCUGUAUCGAUGGUCAUGAAGUAUGCUGACAAUAUUGACAAUAUUGUGAAGGUGUGUCUAUGAAUAUUAUUUUGUAUUUGUAUCAAAGGUGCCCUAGUUCGCAUACUGUGCCUGUAUAAUGUUCUACAUUUAUUCAUUUAUGAUGCAAAGAAAAGAACUAGUAUAACUAGUAUGUAUUGGCUGGAAGAUUGUUAAUUGUCACUUCAGCGUGAAGGCAUGCUCCACCGAGCAGUAAGCUUGCAUGGGGCCUUUCUGGAUAUUGCCACCUAGUGCUGUGCCUUAACUUGAGACUAGCCUUGACUAGCACACGUGGCAAUAUUUAAUUGAUCUAGGUGUCACCUUACGAGGUUGGCAUCUGGAAUCAAGAUCUGUUGGAGGAGCUAAUCUGGCAAUGGCGUGGCCAAGCCACAUGCAUGGUGGACCCAUGUACCUGCACUUGUCAAAAAGAAAAGGAAUUCUUUCUGUAUCAGUACACAUUGAAAAACGCGUUAUAUUGUUUGGUUCCAUAAUGCAGGGAUUUAUCUGAUAAUUUACUGUAUGGAGAUAUACUAUUCUCAAUAUCCAAGCUUAAGCAGCUUGAAUUAUUGUAAGUUAAAUACCUGAAGUGAAGUACUAUUAACUAAGUAUGCUGGAUUGUUUUAGAUAAGUUUUUAGUUCUACCAACCAAGGGCUUGAGUAAGCUCUGUAAAUGCAGGAAUUUGAAGAACAAUCAAUUGAAUGACCCUAUCCCUUUAACGUUAACACAGAUUCCUAACCUCAAAACUUUACAAGAAAUGCAACAAGGUUAGUUGCUCCAGCUAUUGCUACGGGUUUAGGUGCCUUAACACAUUCAUUGGGCACCCUCGUCCCUGUGAUAGAUCAAGUGGAUUUGCUGCAGCUGCAACUGUUAUAGGAAUUGUUGUCGAUAGUUUUAGAUAAUCUCUUAAUAGUUGUCGAUAUAUUUAGAAAGUUAGAUAUGUAUAGUUUUGGAUGGUUUAAACUUGUUGUACAGUUUAAAACUUAAGGAUAUAGUUUUCGAAUGUUUGGAAUGUA
Camellia sinensis is the source of this 2339-nucleotide non-coding RNA. The record is from RefSeq and is a predicted model, not a curated record. NCBI's taxonomy places the organism in Eukaryota, Viridiplantae, Streptophyta, Magnoliopsida, Ericales, Theaceae.